GGUGAACGCUGGCGGCGUGCUUGACACAUGCAAGUCGAACGGUAUGUGGCAACACAUAGAGUGGCGAACGGGUGAGUAACACGUGGGAACGUAUCUUUUGCAGGGGGAUAACUGACCGAAAGGACAGCUAAUACCGCAUAAGUCCGAGAGGAGAAAGGUGCAACAGCAUCGGGCAGAAAGAGCGGCCCGCGGUCCAUCAGCUAGUUGGUGAGGUAAGGGCUUACCAAGGCGACGACGGAUAGCCGGCGUGAGAGCGUGGCCGGCCACAAGGACACUGAGAUACGGGUCCUACUCCUACGGGAGGCAGCAGUGCGGAAUUUUAGGAUAAUGGAGGGAACUCUGAUCUAGCGACGCCGCGUGGCAGGAAGAAGGUCUUCGGAUUGUAAACUGCUGUGGUAAGGGAAAAAUGCUAGUAGAGUGGAAAGCUACAUAGAGGGAUGGUACCUUACUAGAAAGCCCCGGCUAACUACGUGCCAAGCAGCCGCGGUAAUACGU
RNAcentral lists this ribosomal RNA (495 nucleotides) under uncultured bacterium. Its description in RNAcentral is "bacterial SSU rRNA". It matches the Rfam family "Bacterial small subunit ribosomal RNA", at positions 28 to 528 of the family's 1533-position model. The record is from RNAcentral.